CCUACGGGAGGCAGCAGUGGGGAAUAUUGGACAAUGGGCGCAAGCCUGAUCCAGCCAUGCCGCGUGAGUGAUGAAGGCCUUAGGGUUGUAAAGCUCUUUCGCCGGUGAAGAUAAUGACGGUAACCGGAGAAGAAGCCCCGGCUAACUUCGUGCCAGCAGCCGCGGUAAU
This 169-nucleotide ribosomal RNA is filed under the name uncultured bacterium. Its description in RNAcentral is "partial 16S ribosomal RNA". It matches the Rfam family "Bacterial small subunit ribosomal RNA", at positions 338 to 524 of the family's 1533-position model. The record is from RNAcentral.